This 374-nucleotide ribosomal RNA is filed under the name uncultured organism. RNAcentral describes it as "partial 16S ribosomal RNA". It matches the Rfam family "Bacterial small subunit ribosomal RNA", at positions 527 to 896 of the family's 1533-position model. The record is from RNAcentral.
GUAGGCGGCAAGCGUUGUCCGGAAUUAUUGGGGCGUAAAGCGCGCGCAGGCGGUUCUUUAAGUCUGAUGUGAAAGCCCACGGGCUCAACCGUGGAGGGUCAUUGGAAACUGGAGAACUUGAGUACAGAAGAGGAAAGCGGAAUUCCACGUGUAGCGGUGAAAUGCGUAGAGAUGUGGAGGAACACCAGUGGCGAAGGCGGCUUUCUGGUCUGUAACUGACGCUGAGGCGCGAAAGCGUGGGGAGCAAACAGGAUUAGAUACCCUGGUAGUCCACGCCGUAAACGAUGAGUGCUAAGUGUUAGGGGGUUUCCGCCCCUUAGUGCUGCAGCUAACGCAUUAAGCACUCCGCCUGGGGAGUACGGCCGCAAAGGCUG